GGGUUAGACAUGGAAGAGGCAGCUGAUGGGAGAUGUCUUUCUCUUCUGCGCACUUCCUUUGUGAUCACCUCUGGUCACACUUCACCAACCCCACCACACGACCUGUCACAUCUCCUGAUGAAUCUGUGCAUUGCAAAUCAUCUUUCCAGGUUGUAUUAACUUUGCCUCUGUUGAUACUAACAGAAUUUUUUUUAAAGCCACUUAGUGGACUUCAACUCCUUUCAAAAUCCAGAUGCCCUCCAAGGGCUUGACUUCCUCAGAGUCUUUAGAAAUUCUCACUGUAAUUGACCUGUGAACC
Molecule: long non-coding RNA, 298 nt
Filed under: Fukomys damarensis (Damara mole-rat)
Lineage: Eukaryota; Metazoa; Chordata; Mammalia; Rodentia; Bathyergidae
Description: lncRNA (ENSFDAG00000022489.1)
Source: RNAcentral